GUGACCCCAGGUCAGGAGGGGACACCCGCUGA
Molecule: ribosomal RNA, 32 nt
Filed under: Gagea sp. Zarrei & Kamrani 35194
Lineage: Eukaryota; Viridiplantae; Streptophyta; Magnoliopsida; Liliales; Liliaceae
Description: partial 26S ribosomal RNA
Source: RNAcentral